CCUCGCCCUGGUGGAGAGCAGCUCUGGAUCAAGAGGGGCUGAAGGAGGAGCCAGGACCAGCUCCCGUGGCUCAGAGCUGCUUCUGGCCUCAGCCAGUCCUCAGGAAGAAUGAAGAUGUUGACACAGGAGCCCAGGCCAUGGCUGGCCAUGCCCGUUGGGUGGCAGAGAGCUGGCCUGAGUGCCCCAACUCCCUGGCAUUCCUGAAUCCUGCUGCUGCCUGCUUUGCUCCCAAGAAGAGCACCUGCUGAUUCGCCUCAGCCUGUGGAGGGCAGGACCUCCCUUUCCCAGCCUGCUGGUGAGACAGGCCUGUAUUCAGAUGCUUCCUUGGCUGUUAGAAGCUGUGUGACCUGCAGCAAGCCCUUCCUCAGUCUCCACAGGUGGAGAGAGAGGAUGAGGCCAUACUCCCGUGGUGUUAUUGUGAGG
Molecule: long non-coding RNA, 423 nt
Filed under: Bos indicus x Bos taurus (hybrid cattle)
Lineage: Eukaryota; Metazoa; Chordata; Mammalia; Artiodactyla; Bovidae
Description: lncRNA (ENSBIXG00000027813.1)
Source: RNAcentral